UUCACCUGCGGCGGCGAGGGCCGCACCUGAGGCUGAGGCGGGGGAGGUGUACCUGCCGCCAUGUUGGACUUCGCCCGCCCCCACCGCCGGCCCUCAGGCGGUGCUGUUCGGCGGGUCUGGCGGGGACACGUCCUGCCCUCUUCGCCUGGCGUACGGGGAGCAGCACGCCGGGGAUUUCAAAAGCUGGGACUUAGCAGCCGGGGAGGCAGCGAAACCCUAUGGGGAAGGCUGCGUUGUCUAGAGACGUUCCGCUGUACUUGGCGCGGGUGAGGGGCGGCUCGAGUCCUGCGGCCAGUUCUGGGCCUCUCAGUUCUGGAGGGACAUUGAGGUUCUGGAGACUGUCCAGAGAAGGGCAGCGGAGCUGGUGAGGCGUGUGGAGUAGAAGUCUGAUGAGGAGCGGCUGAAGGUGUUUUGCCUGGAGAAAAGAAGGCUCAGAGAGAAUCUUACCGCCCUUUACAACUCCCUGAAAGGAGGUUGUAGCCAGAUGGCACUUUGGGAAGUCUAAGCCAACUAUUCCUGCUGCAUGCAUGCCUGAAUUUAUUACAUUGUUCUGCGGAGCUGAGAGAUUCUCCUUCCUGUUGGUCUGUCCCUGUGUGAAACAGGAAUUCACAGGACUAGAAUGAGUCAGAAAUGAAAGCAGGAGCCCCUCCCUCAAAGUUUGGACAUCUACUUGGAAACACUUAGAUCUCGCUCGAAGCUCAAAUGAUUUGUGAGGGCAAGUGUUCCAACUAAGAUCUUGCAGUUGGACACUUUGCCUUCACUAAGAUCAAGCUCUCAUGUCAGGCUCGGAUAUUCAGGGUUAUUUUCAUGAGAUGAAAGAAAUCUUAAUUAAGUGUUCAUAUCUUUGUCAGCCAGACUCAGAAUAAAAAUUGAUGCGAUUCCCUUGA
This is a long non-coding RNA of Corvus hawaiiensis (hawaiian crow), 887 nucleotides long. RefSeq lists it as uncharacterized. Lineage: Eukaryota; Metazoa; Chordata; Aves; Passeriformes; Corvidae. The record is from RefSeq and is a predicted model, not a curated record. The transcript has 2 exons.